GACGAACGCUGGCGGCGUGCCUAAUACAUGCAAGUAGAACGCUGAAGGAGGAGCUUGCUUCUCUGGAUGAGUUGCGAACGGGUGAGUAGCGCGUAGGUAACCUGCCUGGUAGCGGGGGAUAACUAUUGGAAACGAUAGCUAAUACCGCAUAAUAUUGACUAUUGCAUGAUAGUCAGUUGAAAGGUGCAACUGCACCACUACCAGAUGGACCUGCGUUGUAUUAGCUAGUUGGUGGGGUAACGGCUCACCAAGGCGACGAUACAUAGCCGACCUGAGAGGGUGAUCGGCCACACUGGGACUGAGACACGGCCCAGACUCCUACGGGAGGCAGCAGUAGGGAAUCUUCGGCAAUGGACGGAAGUCUGACCGAGCAACGCCGCGUGAGUGAAGAAGGUUUUCGGAUCGUAAAGCUCUGUUGUAAGAGAAGAACGAGUGUGAGAGUGGAAAGCUCACACUGUGACGGUAUCUUACCAGAAAGGGACGGCUAACUACGUG
This 495-nucleotide ribosomal RNA is filed under the name uncultured bacterium. RNAcentral's name for it is "partial 16S ribosomal RNA". It matches the Rfam family "Bacterial small subunit ribosomal RNA", at positions 28 to 507 of the family's 1533-position model. The record is from RNAcentral.